Molecule: ribosomal RNA, 766 nt
Filed under: Staphylococcus aureus
Lineage: Bacteria; Bacillati; Bacillota; Bacilli; Caryophanales; Staphylococcaceae
Description: bacterial SSU rRNA
Rfam family: Bacterial small subunit ribosomal RNA
Source: RNAcentral
GAUGAACGCUGGCGGCGUGCCUAAUACAUGCAAGUCGAGCGAACGGACGAGAAGCUUGCUUCUCUGAUGUUAGCGGCGGACGGGUGAGUAACACGUGGAUAACCUACCUAUAAGACUGGGAUAACUUCGGGAAACCGGAGCUAAUACCGGAUAAUAUUUUGAACCGCAUGGUUCAAAAGUGAAAGACGGUCUUGCUGUCACUUAUAGAUGGAUCCGCGCUGCAUUAGCUAGUUGGUAAGGUAACGGCUUACCAAGGCAACGAUGCAUAGCCGACCUGAGAGGGUGAUCGGCCACACUGGAACUGAGACACGGUCCAGACUCCUACGGGAGGCAGCAGUAGGGAAUCUUCUGCAAUGGGCGAAAGCCUGACGGAGCAACGCCGCGUGAGUGAUGAAGGUCUUCGGAUCGUAAAACUCUGUUAUUAGGGAAGAACAUAUGUGUAAGUAACUGUGCACAUCUUGACGGUACCUAAUCAGAAAGCCACGGCUAACUACGUGCCAGCAGCCGCGGUAAUACGUAGGUGGCAAGCGUUAUCCGGAAUUAUUGGGCGUAAAGCGCGCGUAGGCGGUUUUUUAAGUCUGAUGUGAAAGCCCACGGCUCAACCGUGGAGGGUCAUUGGAAACUGGAAAACUUGAGUGCAGAAGAGGAAAGUGGAAUUCCAUGUGUAGCGGUGAAAUGCGCAGAGAUAUGGAGGAACACCAGUGGCGAAGGCGACUUUCUGGUCUGUAACUGACGCUGAUGUGCGAAAGCGUGGGGAUCAAACAGG